Molecule: ribosomal RNA, 446 nt
Filed under: uncultured bacterium
Lineage: Bacteria
Description: bacterial SSU rRNA
Rfam family: Bacterial small subunit ribosomal RNA
Source: RNAcentral
CCCAGACUCCUACGGGAGGCAGCAGUGGGGGAUAUUGCACAAUGGGGGAAACCCUGAUGCAGCGACGCCGCGUGAGUGAAGAAGUAUUUCGGUAUGUAAAGCUCUAUCAGCAGGGAAGAAAAAAGACGGUACCUGACUAAGAAGCCCCGGCUAACUACGUGCCAGCAGCCGCGGUAAUACGUAGGGGGCAAGCGUUAUCCGGAUUUACUGGGUGUAAAGGGGGCGCAGACGGCGAUGCAAGCCAGGAGUGAAAGCCCGGGGCCCAACCCCGGGACUGCUCUUGGAACUGCGUGGCUGGAGUGCAGGAGGGGCAGGCGGAAUUCCUGGUGUAGCGGUGAAAUGCGUAGAUAUCAGGAGGAACACCGGUGGCGAAGGCGGCCUGCUGGACUGCAACUGACGUUGAGGCCCGAAAGCGUGGGGAGCAAACAGGAUUAGAUACCCUGGUA